UAGAGCGGCGGACGGGUGAGUAACACGUGGACAAUCUGCCCCCCGGUCCGGGAUAGCCCAGGGAAACCUGGAUUAAUACCGGAUGAGACGGGACCCGCGGAGGCGGGAUCCGGGAAAGGCGCUGCGGCGCCGCCGGGGGAUGAGUCUGCGUCCCAUUAGCUAGACGGCGGGGUAACGGCCCACCGUGGCGACGAUGGGUAGCCGGCCUGAGAGGGUGGACGGCCACAUUGGAACUGAGACACGGUCCAGACUCCUACGGGAGGCAGCAGCUAAGAAUCUUCCGCAAUGGGCGAAAGCCUGACGGAGCGACGCCGCGUGAACGAAGAAGGCCGUGAGGUUGUAAAGUUCUUUUCGGGAGGGGGAACAACCGUGGCAGGGAAUGGCCGCGGGAUGACGUGAAUCCCGGAAUAAGCCCCGGCUAACUACGUGCCAGCAGCCGCGGUAACACGUAGGGGGCGAGCGUUGUUCGGAAUCAUUGGGCGUAAAGGGCGUGCAGGCGGUCCUGCAAGUCCGGCGUGAAAGACCCCGGCCCAACCGGGGGGACGCGCU
This 549-nucleotide ribosomal RNA is filed under the name uncultured bacterium. RNAcentral's name for it is "bacterial SSU rRNA". It matches the Rfam family "Bacterial small subunit ribosomal RNA", at positions 91 to 627 of the family's 1533-position model. The record is from RNAcentral.